RNAcentral lists this ribosomal RNA (473 nucleotides) under uncultured soil bacterium. RNAcentral describes it as "bacterial SSU rRNA". It matches the Rfam family "Bacterial small subunit ribosomal RNA", at positions 26 to 481 of the family's 1533-position model. The record is from RNAcentral.
AGAUUGAACGCUGGCGGCAGGCCUAACACAUGCAAGUCGAGCGGCAGCACGGGUACUUGUACCUGGUGGCGAGCGGCGGACGGGUGAGUAAUGCCUAGGAAUCUGCCUGGUAGUGGGGGAUAACGCUCGGAAACGGACGCUAAUACCGCAUACGUCCUACGGGAGAAAGCAGGGGACCUUCGGGCCUUGCGCUAUCAGAUGAGCCUAGGUCGGAUUAGCUAGUUGGUGAGGUAAUGGCUCACCAAGGCGACGAUCCGUAACUGGUCUGAGAGGAUGAUCAGUCACACUGGGACUGAGACACGGUCCAGACUCCGUACGGGAGGCAGCAGGUGGGGAAUAUUGGACAAGUGGGACGAAAGCCUGACUCCGAGCCAUGCCGCGUGUGUGAAGAAGGUCUUAGGAUUGAAAGCUAGUUUAAGGUUGGAAGGAAGGCAAGUUACCUAAAUACGUAUCGUUAGUUUUGACGUUACGAC